UGAAUAAAAUUCGUGUGUAAUGCUAGUUUGCGUAAAUGUAUGAAUAAGAAAAUUAAUAAAAGAAACAAUAAAACAAGCUUUAGGAAUCAUUAGUAAAGGCUAACCCUUAUUCUAAAGUAAGUCCAGGUGGAGAAGGUAACCAAUACAUUCCCUCUCUCAUACUCAUUAUCUCAAACCUUCCCUCUCUCAUACUCAUUAUCU
Molecule: unclassified non-coding RNA, 201 nt
Filed under: Hevea brasiliensis (rubber tree)
Lineage: Eukaryota; Viridiplantae; Streptophyta; Magnoliopsida; Malpighiales; Euphorbiaceae
Source: RNAcentral